Non-coding RNA from Nicotiana tabacum (common tobacco), 876 nucleotides. NCBI's taxonomy places the organism in Eukaryota, Viridiplantae, Streptophyta, Magnoliopsida, Solanales, Solanaceae. The record is from RefSeq and is a predicted model, not a curated record.
UGUUAUCGGAGAAAUUGUCAAUUUUAGUGAGGUACAAACGCAAAAACAAGGUGAAAUUACUAGUUGCUAAUUAUUUUAUGUCAUUUGGAUGAUAAAACAUUGUAUUCUCUACAUAAAGCAUUUCAGUAAUUCUUAUUAUCUGAGAAGAGCAAUUGUAAUUGUAAAAGCCAACAAUCAUCUUGGACAGCAUGGGAUCAUUCGAAAACACAUCCAUUUAUGCACUUGUUUUUGUUAACUUACCAUCCUCAUCGAGGGAAACAAGCACAAACAACAGAUGCAGGCCUUUAAGUAGACUUUCAGUUGUUGUACUCUACAUGAAGUAAAAGUGCAUCAAGUAUUUAAUCCCUUGACUAUGUGCAGUGUAUAACAGGAAGCACUUUCCAUUCGCUGUUUGUCCUGAUCGAGCAGAACUUUGGUUUUCAGACGUCGUGGAUAUGGGAGCGACCAUCAAUGACUCGGUUCCUUUCCGAGGUUGGAGAAACAGGAAUAUUGGUGGAGCUUGCAGAGGGACAAACUGUGAUGUUGCAGACAUAAGCUGAAACUGGGAAGGCCAAUUUAGGUGCCUCAGUUCUAUUGAUUCAUGUGAUAAUACAGAAGCAGGAGCAGCACGUACUGACCAAAAAUUUGUUGCAGCAGUAAACAAACUUCAUGACAAAAACAAUACAGUCAUAGUUCCAACAGGUCGCUAAUGAAGAUAAUUUGUUAAUCGAUAUUGCAAACUCAUCAGCCAACAUAGGUCUGUAAUGAAGAUAACGAGUUUAUCGAUAUUGCAAACACAUCAGCCAACAUAUGUAUAUCUAUUGCCGCAAAAGUCGUCGAAGAAGAUUUGAAUGCACGGUUAUAUGGAAUUAUGCUCAACACUGUGUUUAAAAUACA